Molecule: ribosomal RNA, 449 nt
Filed under: uncultured bacterium
Lineage: Bacteria
Description: partial 16S ribosomal RNA
Rfam family: Bacterial small subunit ribosomal RNA
Source: RNAcentral
CCUACGGGGGGCAGCAGUGGGGAAUUUUGGACAAUGGGGGAAACCCUGAUCCAGCCAUGCCGCGUGAGUGAAGAAGGCCUUCGGGUUGUAAAGCUCUUUCGGCCGGGAAGAAAUCGCACAGGUUAAUACCUUGUGUGGAUGACGGUACCGGAAUAAGAAGCACCGGCUAACUACGUGCCAGCAGCCGCGGUAAUACGUAGGGUGCGAGCGUUAAUCGGAAUUACUGGGCGGAUUGCGUGCGAAGGCGGUUAAAUCCCCGGGCUCAACCUGGGAACUGCAUUUGUGACUGCGAGGCUAGAGUAUGGCAGAGGGGGGUGGAAUUCCACGUGUAGCAGUGAAAUGCGUAGAGAUGUGGAGGAACACCGAUGGCGAAGGCAGCCCCCUGGGCCAAUACUGACGCUCAUGCACGAAAGCGUGGGGAGCAAACAGGAUUAGAUACCCCGGUAGUC